UGUAGUAAAGCAACAAGGGCUUUAUUACGAGCUUGGAGCGGGGACGUUGUUGCUUUACUACAGAGACCUUCGAGCGGGGACCUUGGAGCGGGAUGCCAGCUCCACUAGCCGUUGGGAGAUUCAUGCAAUAAUAUUACAGGAAGGAUUCAUACAUUUGAAGCCUCUAACUGGAGGAAAACGAAGGGGCGAAUAAAAUCAGGGAAGAGAGGGUAGAGGAUUUGCAUUUGUAUUGGAGUGUUGUGUCAGAGUCAAGGAUUUGCAUUGGAGUGUUGUGUCAUUGGGCAGAAGAAUUCAUACAAUAAUCUUACAGUGAGGAUUCAUACAAAGAGCUAAAAUUAGGGGCAAUUGGGAGAUUCAUACUGUAGUAAUCUAUAUGACCAUUGGGAGAUUCACAGAAUAAUCUAUACGGCCUCCAAAUGAAAGUAAAAGAAGGGCCGAUUAAAACCAGGGCAAGAGAGGGAACUGGCAGCGGGACUGGAAUCUGUGUUAAAUCUUGUUAUUGUAGUGUUGCAUCAUUCCAAAAUAUCUAUCAGAAGGUGCUUACAGCUGAUGGAUCACACCAUCAAAUGAUUUUUCUCUUUGAAAGAUUUAGACACUAAGCCCCAGCUUAAGAGCCAAAUAUACAAUAAACUUAUUCAUUCGUAAAGGCAUUGUUCGUAUAAAGGGCUUGAUAGUCAGCUGGUUGUGAUUAAUCAGGGAUCCAUCCUCUGUCAAUAGCUGUUAUAAUGGCUCAAAAUCAAAUCUUACUCCUGUACAUUACUCUGCAAUUUUUUAUCAAUUCUCUAUUAAAUGUCCUCCACGCCAAGGCUGUGUGCAGCAGCUCCUUUUGCUGUCUUCUUUCAUUCACUUUUCUUCAAGGCAGCCUCCUUCUGCUGAUUCAACCAGGUUAGUCUCUGCCCACUAUUGAUCAAAAAGAUGGAUAACAAUUAAUGAUUGUAAAGAGGAUGGGAGGCGAAUUCGACAUCUGAAAGGUUGGGACAAGUGAGAACCUGAACACAAAAAAUUCAUUGGAGGAUUUGUUGACGACAAUGAGAACUUGAACAUGAAAACUUCAAAGAAGGGAUCGACUUAUGAUGUUGUUUAAUAGUGGAGUGGAAGUGCAAAAUAUGUAACAUUCAAUUUAAAUUGAUUAUUUUUAUUUAUUGUAAACAUUCCUCAACACUUAUAAUUAAUAAAGAUAUACCAUUUUUUUUGA
This is a long non-coding RNA of Cryptomeria japonica (Japanese cedar), 1195 nucleotides long. RefSeq lists it as uncharacterized. NCBI's taxonomy places the organism in Eukaryota, Viridiplantae, Streptophyta, Pinopsida, Cupressales, Cupressaceae. The record is from RefSeq and is a predicted model, not a curated record. The transcript has 6 exons.